UACGUAGGGUGCAAGCGUUGUCCGGAAUUAUUGGGCGUAAAGAGCUCGUAGGCGGUUUGUCGCGUCUGCUGUGAAAACUCGGGGCUUAACCCCGGGCCUGCAGUGGGUACGGGCAGACUAGAGUGCGGUAGGGGAGACUGGAAUUCCUGGUGUAGCGGUGAAAUGCGCAGAUAUCAGGAGGAACACCGGUGGCGAAGGCGGGUCUCUGGGCCGCAACUGACGCUGAGGAGCGAAAGCAUGGGGAGCGAACAGG
This 253-nucleotide ribosomal RNA is filed under the name uncultured bacterium. Its description in RNAcentral is "partial 16S ribosomal RNA". It matches the Rfam family "Bacterial small subunit ribosomal RNA", at positions 524 to 776 of the family's 1533-position model. The record is from RNAcentral.